Entelurus aequoreus (snake pipefish) is the source of this 1752-nucleotide long non-coding RNA. RefSeq lists it as uncharacterized. The record is from RefSeq and is a predicted model, not a curated record. The transcript has 3 exons. NCBI's taxonomy places the organism in Eukaryota, Metazoa, Chordata, Actinopteri, Syngnathiformes, Syngnathidae.
UUGUUCAGUUUUUGACUACCUUAUUUCUGUUUCAGCACCCCUGGGUUUGUGUGUUUUGGUUACAAUGGGUGCUGAUUAGUUUCACCUGUCUCUGAUUAGUGUUCGGGACACACACCUGCUCCUGGGAACUAAUCAGAGAGCUACUUAUAUUCCUGUUUUUCGCCACAAUCAGACUGGCUGUCUCCUGCAAAACGUUACGUUGAGUAAUUCUAUGAUUCUUGAUUCUAGUUCAUGAGCUAAGCUUCGCCACGGCUGCCAUGCUAUUGGAACGCUUUUCUGUAUUUUAGUAUUCCUGCCUGAAUUUAUGAAAAUAAAUCAUCUUCUUGCCUGCACCUUGCCUCCGGAGUUUCCGUCUGCAUCUUGGGAGAACGAUCCACGGAGUAAAAUGCGACCACGCUGUAACAACAACCUUCUACUAUACAGGUGGCACGGAACGUCGUACUCGAUCUCGUCGUGGCGUGACGGGCUGAGGAACAUGGUGCCGUCCACCAGCGGAAACUGUUCAAACACCGGCAGUGCCCGGUGACACAGCGCACAGUUGACCACGUUCCUCUGGCUCGCGCUCAGGGUGGACAGGAUGAACCUACAAGACAACAGCGAGAAGUGCUGGCUGCACAGAGUCGGGACCCGGGGUGGACCGCUCGCCUGUGCAUCGGUUGGGGACAUCUCUGCGCUGCUGACCCAUCUCCGCUCGGGAUGGUUUCCUGCUGGCCCCACUAUGGACUGGACUCUCCUGUUGUGUUGGAUCCACUGUGGACUGACUGGACUUUCGCUGAUGUGUUGGAUCCACUAUGGACUGGACUUUCACAAUAUUAUGUCAGACCCACUCGACAUCCAUUGCUUUCGGUCUCCCCUAGAGGGGAGGGAGUUACCCACAUAUGCGGUCCUCUCCAAGGUUUCUCAUAGUCAUUCACAUCGACGUCCCACUGGGGUGAGUUUUCCUUGCCCUUAUGUGGGCUCUGUACCGAGGAUGUCGUUGUGGCUUGUGCAGCCCUUUGAGACACUUGUGAUUUAGGGCUAUAUAAAUAAACAUUGAUUGAUAUUUGGUUUAAGCGUUAGAUACCUUUUUACCUGCAAACCGUAGUCGUCGUUCCUGGCAUCUACAAAGAAAUUAGCUAGCUGCUGCCACCUACUGAUAUGGAAGAGUAUUACACGGUUACUCUGCCGAGCUGUAGACAGCACAGACACUCAACAGCGGCACAUUAUUUGCGGAUUAUAAUUACUGGUUUGCAAAAAAUAUUUUUAACCCAAUUAGGUGAAAUUACAUAAUCUCCCACGGCACACCAAACAAUAUAAUCUUUUAUAAUCCUUUAAAAGAAAGACUUACUUUUAUGACAUUCAUCUUUGUGUUGGGUGUUUAAAGGGGCAAAUUUAAAAUGGCUUGAUUGAAUAGUGAUAUCUGGGGGAAAUGUAUGUGCUUGGAAGUAAACUCAAAUUGUUAUAAUGAAAUAAUUUGUAUACAGUUAGCAAACUAUAAGGGGCGAUUUAUUUCAAAUAUAUUGCAUAAAUAUGUAUUAAAGUAACAAGCUCCAACACAAACAGGGCGGACUGCAGUGAAUGCGGAAGUAAACAGGGCGGACUGCAGUGAACGCGGAAGUAGGUGAUUAGCGCUACCGGCUAUUCGUCACCAAGCAAAGAUUCUUUAUUCUUUUCUCCCACUGUGGUGAACUCUUACCUUUAUUGUGUUUAUGCCAAUAACCCGUAUCUAAAAUAUGUUUAAUUUCGAAAAUAGACAACCGCAGACUGAUUAGA